CACAAUCAUAAUCAUCGUGGAUUAACUCACGUCAGUCGUUCGUCUAUCGUGGAUUUACAUCAUCGUUUUUGUGGAUUUUGUCAAACUAAUCUUGGGCUAAUCAGUGGAAGAUUACGUUAGCCUACGAAUGAAGACCAAAGACGAUGUUUCAGGAUCAGGAAUGUGAUUCGAAAGUAUAGAGAAAGCAAUUACCACAAGAUAUUUGCAAGAAGAUUCAAAGUGUACUCUGCAAACUUUGUAUAUACAUGUGAAGUAUUGUGAGAGGAGUACUCUUAGGAAUGUCAUUGACGAGGGAUAGUGCAAGGACCAACGGAGAAUGUGGCCCCUUCUCCGUGAGAUUGUAGAAGGCUUGGUUCUCGUUCUUUUAAAGCUAACUUUAUGUGCUAACUUUGUGUAUGUGUAAAUAAACAUGAAAAAAUGUGAACAAUUUUCGUUUAGCUCAAUAAAUAUAAAUAAAACUUA
Xenia sp. Carnegie-2017 is the source of this 462-nucleotide long non-coding RNA. RefSeq lists it as uncharacterized. NCBI's taxonomy places the organism in Eukaryota, Metazoa, Cnidaria, Anthozoa, Malacalcyonacea, Xeniidae. The transcript is spliced from 2 exons. The record is from RefSeq and is a predicted model, not a curated record.